RNAcentral lists this ribosomal RNA (455 nucleotides) under uncultured bacterium. RNAcentral's name for it is "bacterial SSU rRNA". It matches the Rfam family "Bacterial small subunit ribosomal RNA", at positions 28 to 507 of the family's 1533-position model. The record is from RNAcentral.
GACGAACGCUGACGGCGUGCCUUACGCAUGCAAGUCGAGCGGUCCACUUCGGUGGACAGCGGCAGACGGCUGAGUAACACGUAAGUAACCUGUCCUUCAGUGGGGGAUAACCCCGCGAAAGCGGGGCUAAUACCGCGUGCGCUCCCGGAGGGAAGUGCCCCGGGAGGAAAGCCUUCGGGCGCUGAAGGGGGGGCUUGCGGCCUAUCAGGUAGUUGGCAGGGUAACGGCCUACCAAGCCUACGACGGGUAGCUGGUCUGAGAGGACGAUCAGCCAGACGGGGACUGAGACACGGCCCCGACUCCUACGGGAGGCAGCAGCGAGGGAUCUUGCGCAAUGGGCGAAAGCCUGACGCAGCAACGCCGCGUGGAGGAAGAAGGCCUUCGGGUCGUAAACUCCUUUUGCAGGGGAAGAAGGUCUGACGGUACCCUGCGAAUAAGCCACGGCUAACUACGUG